This 867-nucleotide ribosomal RNA is filed under the name uncultured archaeon. RNAcentral's name for it is "bacterial SSU rRNA". It matches the Rfam family "Archaeal small subunit ribosomal RNA", at positions 1 to 878 of the family's 1478-position model. The record is from RNAcentral.
UUCCGGUGAUCCUGCCGGACCCGACUGCUAUCAGAGUGAGAUUAAGCCAUGCGAGUCAACGUAGCAAUACGUGGCACACGGCUCAGUAACACGUAGUCAACAUGCCCAGAGGACGUGGAUAAACUCGGGAAACUGAGGCUAAACCGCGAUAGAUCAAGAUAUCUGGAAUGGUUUUUGAUCGAAAUCUAUAUGGCCUUUGGAUUGGACUGCGUCCGAUCAGGCUGUUGGUGAGGUAAUGGCCCACCAAACCUGUAACCGGUACGGGCUCUGAGAGGAGGAGCCCGGAGAUGGGUACUGAGAAAAGGACCCAGGCCCUAUGGGGCGCAGCAGGCGCGAAACCUCUGCAAUAGGCGAAAGCCUGACAGGGUUACUCUGAGUGACUUUCGCUAAGAAAGUCUUUUGACAUCUCUAAAAAUGGUGUAGAAUAAGGGGUGGGCAAGUCUGGUGUCAGCCGCCGCGGUAAUACCAGCACCCCGAGUGGUCGGGACGAUUAUUGGGCCUAAAGCAUCCGUAGCCGGUUUUACAAGUCCUCCGUUAAAUCCAGCUGCUUAACAGAUGGGCUGCGGAGGAUACUAUAAGACUAGGAGGCAGGAGAGGCAAGCGGUACUCAGUGGGUAGGGGUAAAAUCCGUUGAUCCAUUGAAGACCACCAGUGGCGAAGGCGGCUUGCCAGAAUGCGCUCGACGGUGAGGGAUGAAAGCUGGGGGAGCAAACCGGAUUAGAUACCCGGGUAGUCCCAGCUGUAAACGAUGCAGACUCGGUGAUGGACUAGCUUUAUGCUAGUCCAGUGCCGCAGGGAAGCCGUUAAGUCUGCCGCCUGGGUAGUACGGUCGCAAGACUGAAACUUAAAGGAAUUGGCGGGGGAGCA